GUAUAGGAUCUACCUAGUAGUACGGAAUAAUUGUUGGAAACGACAACUAAUACCGUAUACGCCCUACGGGGGAAAAAUUUAUUGCUAUUAGAUGAGCCUAUAUUAGAUUAGCUAGUUGGUGGGGUAAUAGCCUACCAAGGUAAUGAUCUAUAGCUGAUCUGAGAGGAUGAUCAGCCACACUGGAACUGAGAUACGGUCCAGACUCCUACGGGAGGCAGCAGUGGGGAAUAUUGGACAAUGGGCGAAAGCCUGAUCCAGCCAUGCCGCAUGAGUGAAGAAGGCCUUUGGGUUGUAAAGCUCUUUUAGUGAGGAAGAUAAUGACGGUACUCACAGAAGAAGUCCUGGCUAACUCCGUGCCAGCAGCCGCGGUAAUACGGAGAGGGCUAGCGUUAUUCGGAAUUAUUGGGCGUAAAGGGCGCGUAGGCUGGUUAAUAAGUUAAAAGUGAAAUCCCGAGGCUUAACCUUGGAAUUGCUUUUAAAACUAUUAAUCUAGAGAUUGAAAGAGGAUAGAGGAAUUCCUGAUGUAGAGGUAAAAUUCGUAAAUAUUAGGAGGAACACCAGUGGCGAAGGCGUCUAUCUGGUUCAAAUCUGACGCUGAAGCGCGAAGGCGUGGGGAGCAAACAGGAUUAGAUACCCUGGUAGUCCACGCUGUAAACGAUGAAUGUUAAAUAUGGGGAGUUUACUUUCUGUAUUACAGCUAACGCGUUAAACAUUCCGCCUGGGGACUACGGUCGCAAGAUUAAAACUCAAAGGAAUUGACGGGGACCCGCACAAGCGGUGGAGCAUGUGGUUUAAUUCGAUG
RNAcentral lists this ribosomal RNA (802 nucleotides) under Wolbachia pipientis. Its description in RNAcentral is "bacterial SSU rRNA". It matches the Rfam family "Bacterial small subunit ribosomal RNA", at positions 115 to 956 of the family's 1533-position model. Lineage: Bacteria; Pseudomonadati; Pseudomonadota; Alphaproteobacteria; Rickettsiales; Anaplasmataceae. The record is from RNAcentral.